Molecule: ribosomal RNA, 296 nt
Filed under: uncultured bacterium
Lineage: Bacteria
Description: partial 16S ribosomal RNA
Rfam family: Bacterial small subunit ribosomal RNA
Source: RNAcentral
CCUACGGGAGGCAGCAGUGGGGAAUAUUGGGCAAUGGGCGCAAGCCUGACCCAGCAACGCCGCGUGAAGGAAGAAGGCUUUCGGGUUGUAAACUUCUUUUCUCAGGGACGAAGCAAGUGACGGUACCUGAGGAAUAAGCCACGGCUAACUACGUGCCAGCAGCCGCGGUAAUACGUAGGUGGCAAGCGUUAUCCGGAUUUAUUGGGUUUAAAGGGUGCGCAGGCGGAGGUGCAAGUCAGCGGUCAAAUUGCGGGGCUCAACCCCGUACUGCCGUUGAAGCUGCAUCCCUUGAGUGC